AAGUCGUUACAAGGUUUCCGUAGGUAACCUGCGGAAGGAUCAUUAACACGUAUCCAACGUUAAACAACCCUGUGAACCUUGAACGUGCUCCUGCAGCCCCAUGAAAUCAGCAAUCCCUGGUAAAUCAUUGUUGACCAGCUUUUGAGUCCUGAAAGUGUCAUUGAUUGUGGUAAGGAUGGCGCAGUAAACGAUUGCUAGAGGCCCACACGGCCGGCAACCGGGUCCCAGGGCUCACGCCCCUUUAUCACCCCACAGUUUCCGACUGGGAAGCCGAUAAUACGGACGCCGUAAAAAACUGAACAACUGUUAACAAUGGAUAUCUUGGUUCUC
This 330-nucleotide unclassified non-coding RNA is filed under the name fungal sp. RNAcentral's name for it is "partial internal transcribed spacer region". The record is from RNAcentral. Lineage: Eukaryota; Fungi.